RNAcentral lists this ribosomal RNA (460 nucleotides) under uncultured bacterium. RNAcentral describes it as "partial 16S ribosomal RNA". It matches the Rfam family "Bacterial small subunit ribosomal RNA", at positions 338 to 795 of the family's 1533-position model. The record is from RNAcentral.
CCUACGGGUGGCAGCAGUGAGGAAUAUUGGUCAAUGGGCGGGAGCCUGAACCAGCCAAGUCGCGUGAGGGAAGACGGUCCUAUGGAUUGUAAACCUCUUUAGGCGGGGAGCAAUGCCGGGCACGUGUGCCCGGAGGGAGAGUACCCGCAGAAUAAGCAUCGGCUAACUCCGUGCCAGCAGCCGCGGUAAUACGGAGGAUGCGAGCGUUAUCCGGAUUUAUUGGGUUUAAAGGGUGCGUAGGCGGAAGGUUAAGUCAGCGGUCAAAUGUCGGUGCUCAACACCGGCCUGCCGUUGAAACUGGCGUUCUUGAGUGGGCGAGAAGUAUGCGGAAUGCGUGGUGUAGCGGUGAAAUGCAUAGAUAUCACGCAGAACUCCGAUUGCGAAGGCAGCAUACCGGCGCCCAACUGACGCUGAAGCACGAAAGCGUGGGUAUCGAACAGGAUUAGAUACCCCUGUAGUC